GCAGCCGCGGUAAUACGUAGGGUGCGAGCGUUGUCCGGAAUUAUUGGGCGUAAAGGGCUCGUAGGCGGUCUGUCGCGUCUGCUGUGAAAACCCGAGGCUCAACCUCGGGCCUGCAGUGGGUACGGGCAGACUAGAGUGCGGUAGGGGAGAAUGGAAUUCCUGGUGUAGCGGUGGAAUGCGCAGAUAUCAGGAGGAACACCGAUGGCGAAGGCAGUUCUCUGGGCCGUAACUGACGCUGAGGAGCGAAAGCGUGGGGAGCGAACAGGAUUAGAUACCCUGGUAGUCCACGCCGUAAACGUUGGGCGCUAGAUGUGGGGAUCAUUCCACGGUUUCCGUGUCGCAGCUAACGCAUUAAGCGCCCCGCCUGGGGAGUACGGCCGCAAGGCUAAAACUCAAAGGAAUUGACGGGGGCCCGCACAAGCGGCGGAGCAUGCGGAUUAAUUCGAUGCAACGCGAAGAACCUUACCAAGGCUUGACAUACACGAGAACGCCCUAGAAAUAGGGAACUCUUUGGACACUCGUGAACAGGUGGUGCAUGGUUGUCGUCAGCUCGUGUCGUGAGAUGUUGGGUUAAGUCCCGCAACGAGCGCAACCCUCGUUCUAUGUUGCCAGCGCGUAAUGGCGGGAACUCAUGGGAGACUGCCGGGGUCAACUCGGAGGAAGGUGGGGAUGACGUCAAAUCAUCAUGCCCCUUAUGUCUUGGGCUUCACGCAUGCUACAAUGGCCGGUACAAAGGGCUGCAAUACCGUAAGGUGGAGCGAAUCCCAAAAAGCCGGUCUCAGUUCGGAUUGAGGUCUGCAACUCGACCUCAUGAAGUCGGAGUCGCUAGUAAUCGCAGAUCAGCAACGCUGCGGUGAAUACGUUCCCGGGCCUUGUACACACCGCCCGU
Molecule: ribosomal RNA, 889 nt
Filed under: uncultured Leifsonia sp.
Lineage: Bacteria; Bacillati; Actinomycetota; Actinomycetes; Micrococcales; Microbacteriaceae
Description: bacterial SSU rRNA
Rfam family: Bacterial small subunit ribosomal RNA
Source: RNAcentral